UGAAUCUGAGGACAACUUACAGAUGUUGGU
Molecule: non-coding RNA, 30 nt
Filed under: Mus musculus (house mouse)
Lineage: Eukaryota; Metazoa; Chordata; Mammalia; Rodentia; Muridae
Source: RNAcentral